UUAAGUGACUAAGCGUACACGGUGGAUGCCUAGGCAGUCAGAGGCGAUGAAGGGCGUGCUAAUCUGCGAAAAGCGUCGGUAAGGUGAUAUGAACCGUUACAACCGGCGAUACCCGAAUGGGGAAACCCAGUGUGUUUCGACACACUAUCAUGUCAUGAAUACAUAGUGGCAUGAGGCGAACCGGGGGAACUGAAACAUCUAAGUACCCCGAGGAAAAGAAAUCAACCGAGAUUCCCCCAGUAGCGGCGAGCGAACGGGGAGGAGCCCAGAACCUGAAUCGGCUUGUGUGUUAGUGGAAGCGUCUGGAAAGUCGCGCAGCAAAGGGUGAUAGCCCCGUACACUAAAAUGCACAGGUCGUGAGUUCGAUGAGUAGGGCGGGACACGUGACAUCCUGUCUGAAUAUGGGGGGACCAUCCUCCAAGGCUAAAUACUCCUGACUGACCGAUAGUGAACCAGUACCGUGAGGGAAAGGCGAAAAGAACCCCGGCGAGGGGAGUGAAAUAGAACCUGAAACCGUGUACGUACAAGCAGUGGGAGCACCUUCGUGGUGUGACUGCGUACCUUUUGUAUAAUGGGUCAGCGACUUAUAUUUUGUAGCAAGGUUAACCGUAUAGGGGAGCCGUAGGGAAACCGAGUCUUAACUGGGCGAAUAGUUGCAAGGUAUAGACCCGAAACCCGGUGAUCUAGCCAUGGGCAGGUUGAAGGUUGGGUAACACUAACUGGAGGACCGAACCGACUAAUGUUGAAAAAUUAGCGGAUGACUUGUGGCUGGGGGUGAAAGGCCAAUCAAACCGGGAGAUAGCUGGUUCUCCCCGAAAGCUAUUUAGGUAGCGCCUCGUGAACUCAUCUUCGGGGGUAGAGCACUGUUUCGGCUAGGGGGCCAUCCCGGCUUACCAAACCGAUGCAAACUCCGAAUACCGAAGAAUGUUAUCACGGGAGACACACGGCGGGUGCUAACGUCCGUCGUGAAGAGGGAAACAACCCAGACCGCCAGCUAAGGUCCCAAAGUCAUGGUUAAGUGGGAAACGAUGUGGGAAGGCACAGACAGCCAGGAUGUUGGCUUAGAAGCAGCCAUCAUUUAAAGAAAGCGUAAUAGCUCACUGGUCGAGUCGGCCUGCGCGGAAGAUGUAACGGGGCUAAACCAUGCACCGAAGCUGCGGCAGCGACGCUUAGGCGUUGUUGGGUAGGGGAGCGUUCUGUAAGCCGUUGAAGGUGGCCUGUGAGGGUUGCUGGAGGUAUCAGAAGUGCGAAUGCUGACAUAAGUAACGAUAAAGCGGGUGAAAAGCCCGCUCGCCGGAAGACCAAGGGUUCCUGUCCAACGUUAAUCGGGGCAGGGUGAGUCGACCCCUAAGGCGAGGCUGAAAAGCGUAGUCGAUGGGAAACAGGUUAAUAUUCCUGUACUUGGUGUUACUGCGAAGGGGGGACGGAGAAGGCUAGGCUGGCCGGGCGACGGUUGUCCCGGUUUAAGCGUGUAGGGGGUGUGACCUGGUAAAUCCGGUUACAUAUUAACCCUGAGGCGUGAUGACGAUGCACUACGGUGCAGAAGUAGUUGAUGCCCUGCUUCCAGGAAAAUCCUCUAAGCUCCAGGUAACAUUAAAUCGUACCCCAAACCGACACAGGUGGUCAGGUAGAGAAUACCAAGGCGCUUGAGAGAACUCGGGUGAAGGAACUAGGCAAAAUGGUGCCGUAACUUCGGGAGAAGGCACGCUGGCAUGUAGGUGAAGUCCCUUGCGGAUGGAGCUGAAGCCAGUCGAAGAUACCAGCUGGCUGCAACUGUUUAAUAAAAACACAGCACUGUGCAAACACGAAAGUGGACGUAUACGGUGUGACGCCUGCCCGGUGCUGGAAGGUUAAUUGAUGGGGUCAGCCGCAAGGCGAAGCUCUUGAUCGAAGCCCCAGUAAACGGCGGCCGUAACUAUAACGGUCCUAAGGUAGCGAAAUUCCUUGUCGGGUAAGUUCCGACCUGCACGAAUGGCGUAAUGAUGGCCAGGCUGUCUCCACCCGAGACUCAGUGAAAUUGAACUCGCUGUGAAGAUGCAGUGUACCCGCGGCAAGACGGAAAGACCCCGUGAACCUUUACUAUAGCUUGACACUGAACAUUGAGCCUUGAUGUGUAGGAUAGGUGGGAGGCUUUGAAGCGUGGACGCCAGUCUGCGUGGAGCCAUCCUUGAAAUACCACCCUUUAAUGUUUGAUGUUCUAACUCUGCCCCAUAAUCUGGGGUGAGGACAGUGUCUGGUGGGUAGUUUGACUGGGGCGGUCUCCUCCCAAAGAGUAACGGAGGAGCACGAAGGUUAGCUAAUCACGGUCGGACAUCGUGAGGUUAGUGCAAAGGCAUAAGCUAGCUUGACUGCGAGAGUGACGGCUCGAGCAGGUACGAAAGUAGGUCUUAGUGAUCCGGUGGUUCUGAAUGGAAGGGCCAUCGCUCAACGGAUAAAAGGUACUCCGGGGAUAACAGGCUGAUACCGCCCAAGAGUUCAUAUCGACGGCGGUGUUUGGCACCUCGAUGUCGGCUCAUCACAUCCUGGGGCUGAAGUAGGUCCCAAGGGUAUGGCUGUUCGCCAUUUAAAGUGGUACGCGAGCUGGGUUUAGAACGUCGUGAGACAGUUCGGUCCCUAUCUGCCGUGGGCGUUGGAAGAUUGAGAGGGGUUGCUCCUAGUACGAGAGGACCGGAGUGAACGCACCACUGGUGUUCGGGUUGUCAUGCCAAUGGCAUUGCCCGGUAGCUAAGUGCGGAAAAGAUAAGCGCUGAAAGCAUCUAAGCGCGAAACUUGCCUCAAGAUGAGUCUUCCCUGGGACUUUAAGUCCCCUGAAGGAACGUUUAAGACUAAGACGUUGAUAGGCUGGGUGUGUAAGUGCAGCGAUGCAUUGAGCUAACCAGUACUAAUGAUCCGUGAGGCUUAACCUU
This 2906-nucleotide ribosomal RNA is filed under the name Serratia marcescens BIDMC 44. RNAcentral describes it as "bacterial LSU rRNA". It matches the Rfam family "Bacterial large subunit ribosomal RNA". Lineage: Bacteria; Pseudomonadati; Pseudomonadota; Gammaproteobacteria; Enterobacterales; Yersiniaceae. The record is from RNAcentral.